Molecule: ribosomal RNA, 384 nt
Filed under: uncultured bacterium
Lineage: Bacteria
Description: bacterial SSU rRNA
Rfam family: Bacterial small subunit ribosomal RNA
Source: RNAcentral
AUUGAACGCUGGCGGCAUGCCUUACACAUGCAAGUCGAACGGUAACGCGGGGCAACCUGGCGACGAGUGGCGAACGGGUGAGUAAUAUAUCGGAACGUGCCCAAUAGUGGGGGAUAGCCCGGCGAAAGCCGGAUUAAUACCGCAUGAGACCUGAGGGUGAAAGCGGGGGAUCGCAAGACCUCGCGCUAUUGGAGCGGCCGAUAUCAGAUUAGGUAGUUGGUGGGGUAAAAGCCUACCAAGCCGACGAUCUGUAGCUGGUCUGAGAGGACGACCAGCCACACUGGGACUGAGACACGGCCCAGACUCCUACGGGAGGCAGCAGUGGGGAAUUUUGGACAAUGGGCGCAAGCCUGAUCCAGCCAUGCCGCGUGCGAGAAGAAGGCC